GUCCGCACUGUAAACGAUGAUUACUCGCUGCUAGAGGGCAACUUUUAGUGGCUUAGCGAAAGCGAUAAGUAAUCCACCUGGGGAGUACGCCGGCAACGGUGAAACUCAAAAGGAAUUGACGGGGGCCCGCACAAGCGGAGGAGCAUGUGGUUUAAUUCGAUGAUACGCGAGGAACCUUACCAGGGCUUGAAAGUUAAGGAAUGAUAAUGAAAGUUGUCAGUCAGCAAUGAACCUAAAACUAGGUGCUGCAUGACUGUCGU
This 260-nucleotide ribosomal RNA is filed under the name uncultured bacterium. RNAcentral's name for it is "partial 16S ribosomal RNA". It matches the Rfam family "Bacterial small subunit ribosomal RNA", at positions 793 to 1055 of the family's 1533-position model. The record is from RNAcentral.